UACGUAGGGUGCAAGCGUUAAUCGGAAUUACUGGGCGUAAAGCGUGCGCAGGCGGUUGUGCAAGACAGAUGUGAAAUCCCCGGGCUCAACCUGGGAACUGCAUUUGUGACUGCACGGCUGGAGUGCGGCAGAGGGGGAUGGAAUUCCGCGUGUAGCAGUGAAAUGCGUAGAUAUCAGGAGGAAUACCGAUGGCGAAGGCAGGUCUCUGGGCUGACACUGACGCUCAUGCACGAAAGCGUGGGGAGCAAACAGG
This 253-nucleotide ribosomal RNA is filed under the name uncultured bacterium. Its description in RNAcentral is "partial 16S ribosomal RNA". It matches the Rfam family "Bacterial small subunit ribosomal RNA", at positions 524 to 776 of the family's 1533-position model. The record is from RNAcentral.